UGCUUUGAUGGAUGGCGACCGGCGCACGGGUGAGUAACACGUAUCCAACCUGCCGACAACACUGGGAUAGCCUUUCGAAAGAAAGAUUAAUACCGGAUGGUAUAGUUUUCCCGCAUGGGAUGAUUAUUAAAGAAUUUCGGUUGUCGAUGGGGAUGCGUUCCAUUAGGCAGUUGGCGGGGUAACGGCCCACCAAACCUACGAUGGAUAGGGGUUCUGAGAGGAAGGUCCCCCACAUUGGAACUGAGACACGGUCCAAACUCCUACGGGAGGCAGCAGUGAGGAAUAUUGGUCAAUGGACGAGAGUCUGAACCAGCCAAGUAGCGUGAAGGAUGACUGCCCUAUGGGUUGUAAACUUCUUUUAUACGGGAAUAAAGUGAGCCACGUGUGGCUUUUUGUAUGUACCGUAUGAAUAAGGAUCGGCUAACUCCGUGCCAGCAGCCGCGGUAAUACGGAGGAUCCGAGCGUUAUCCGGAUUUAUUGGGUUUAAAGGGAGCGUAGGCGGGUUGUUAAGUCAGUUGUGAAAGUUUGCGGCUCAACCGUAAAAUUGCAGUUGAUACUGGCGACCUUGAGUGCAACAGAGGUAGGCGGAAUUCGUGGUGUAGCGGUGAAAUGCUUAGAUAUCACGAAGAACUCCGAUUGC
This 640-nucleotide ribosomal RNA is filed under the name uncultured Bacteroidales bacterium. RNAcentral describes it as "bacterial SSU rRNA". It matches the Rfam family "Bacterial small subunit ribosomal RNA", at positions 77 to 716 of the family's 1533-position model. The record is from RNAcentral. Lineage: Bacteria; Pseudomonadati; Bacteroidota; Bacteroidia; Bacteroidales.